AUUCACUCUGGCGGCGUGCCUCAUACAUGCAAGUCGCGCGAACAGACGAGGAGCUUGCUCCUCUGACGUUAGCGGCGGACGGGUGAGUAACACGUGGAUAACCUACCUAUAAGACUGGGAUAACUUCGGGAAACCGGAGCUAAUACCGGAUAAUAUAUUUAACCGCAUGGUUCAAUAGUGAAAGACGGUUUUGCUGUCACUUAUAGAUGGAUCCGCGCCGCAUUAGCUAGUUGGUAAGGUAACGGCUUACCAAGGCAACGAUGCGUAGCCGACCUGAGAGGGUGAUCGGCCACACUGGAACUGAGACACGGUCCAGACUCCUACGGGAGGCAGCAGUAGGGAAUCUUCCGCAAUGGGCGAAAGCUUGACGGAGCAACGCCGCGUGAGUGAUGAAGGUCUUCGGAUCGUAAAACUCUGUUAUUAGGGAAGAACAAAUGUGUAAGUAACUAUGCACGUCUUGACGGUACCUAAUCAGAAAGCCACGGCUAACUACGUG
RNAcentral lists this ribosomal RNA (496 nucleotides) under uncultured bacterium. Its description in RNAcentral is "partial 16S ribosomal RNA". It matches the Rfam family "Bacterial small subunit ribosomal RNA", at positions 33 to 507 of the family's 1533-position model. The record is from RNAcentral.